UAACCUGCCCAAGAGAUCGGGAUAACACCUGGAAACAGAUGCUAAUACCGGAUAACAACAGAUGAUGCCUAUCAACUGUUUAAAAGAUGGUUCUGCUAUCACUCUUGGAUGGACCUGCGGUGCAUUAGCUAGUUGGUAAGGUAACGGCUUACCAAGGCGAUGAUGCAUAGCCGAGUUGAGAGACUGAUCGGCCACAUUGGGACUGAGACACGGCCCAAACUCCUACGGGAGGCAGCAGCG
Molecule: ribosomal RNA, 240 nt
Filed under: uncultured Lactobacillus sp.
Lineage: Bacteria; Bacillati; Bacillota; Bacilli; Lactobacillales; Lactobacillaceae
Description: partial 16S ribosomal RNA
Rfam family: Bacterial small subunit ribosomal RNA
Source: RNAcentral